Molecule: ribosomal RNA, 429 nt
Filed under: Verrucomicrobiota bacterium
Lineage: Bacteria; Pseudomonadati; Verrucomicrobiota
Description: Verrucomicrobia bacterium partial 16S ribosomal RNA
Rfam family: Bacterial small subunit ribosomal RNA
Source: RNAcentral
UAGGGAAUCUUCCGCAAUGGACGAAAGUCUGACGGAGCAACGCCGCGUGAGUGAAGAAGGAUUUCGGUUCGUAAAACUCUGUUGUUAGGGAAGAAAAAAUGUAUAGUAACUAUAUACAAAAGAGACGGUACCUAACCAGAAAGCCACGGCUAACUACGUGCCAGCAGCCGCGGUAAUACGUAGGUGGCAAGCGUUGUCCGGAAUUAUUGGGCGUAAAGCGCGCGCAGGUGGUUUAGAAAGUCUGAUGUGAAAGCCCACGGCUCAACCGUGGAGGGUCAUUGGAAACUAAUAAACUUGAGUGCAGGAGAGAAAAGUGGAAUUCCUAGUGUAGCGGUGAAAUGCGUAGAGAUUAGGAGGAACACCGGUGGCGAAAGCGGCUUUUUGGCCUGCAACUGACACUGUGGCGCGAAAGCGUGGGGAGCAAACAGG